CACCGCGGUUAUACGAGAGACCCAAGUUGAUAGCCCUCGGCGUAAAGAGUGGUUAAGAGACAUCCCCAAACUAAAGAUAAACGACUUCAAAGCUGUUAUACGCACAUGAAUAUAUGAAAAUCAACUACGAAAGUGACUUUAAACCCCUGACCCCACGAAAGCUAUGACA
Molecule: ribosomal RNA, 169 nt
Filed under: Halichoeres melasmapomus (cheekspot wrasse)
Lineage: Eukaryota; Metazoa; Chordata; Actinopteri; Labriformes; Labridae
Description: partial small subunit ribosomal RNA
Source: RNAcentral